UACGUAGGGCGCAAGCGUUAUCCGGAAUUAUUGGGCGUAAAGAGCUCGUAGGCGGUCUGUCACGUCGGCUGUGAAAUCCCGAGGCUCAACCUCGGGUCUGCAGUCGAUACGGGCAAACUAGAGUAUUGCAGGGGAGACUGGAAUUCCUGGUGUAGCGGUGAAAUGCGCAGAUAUCAGGAGGAACACCGAUGGCGAAGGCAGGUCACUGGGCCGCAACUGACGCUGAGGAGCGAAAGCAUGGGGAGCGAACAGG
RNAcentral lists this ribosomal RNA (253 nucleotides) under uncultured bacterium. Its description in RNAcentral is "partial 16S ribosomal RNA". It matches the Rfam family "Bacterial small subunit ribosomal RNA", at positions 524 to 776 of the family's 1533-position model. The record is from RNAcentral.